CAAAUUAUUGUUGAAACACCAGUUCCCGUAUGAUUACUGAAGUUAAGCAACGUUGAGCCUGGUCAGUACCUAGAUAGGUGACCGCCUGGGAAUACCAGGUGUUGUAA
Non-coding RNA from Acanthosepion pharaonis, 107 nucleotides. Lineage: Eukaryota; Metazoa; Mollusca; Cephalopoda; Sepiida; Sepiidae. The record is from the annotation of a GenBank genome assembly.